This 77-nucleotide transfer RNA is filed under the name Buchnera aphidicola. RNAcentral's name for it is "tRNA-fMet(cat)". It matches the Rfam family "tRNA". From Rfam's summary of the family: Transfer RNA (tRNA) molecules are approximately 80 nucleotides in length. Their secondary structure includes four short double-helical elements and three loops (D, anti-codon, and T loops). Further hydrogen bonds mediate the characteristic L-shaped molecular structure. tRNAs have two regions of fundamental functional importance: the anti-codon, which is responsible for specific mRNA codon recognition, and the 3' end, to which the tRNAs corresponding amino acid is attached (by aminoacyl-tRNA synthetases). tRNAs cope with the degeneracy of the genetic code in two manners: having more than one tRNA (with a specific anti-codon) for a particular amino acid; and 'wobble' base-pairing, i.e. permitting non-standard base-pairing at the 3rd anti-codon position. RNAcentral also lists the same sequence under 7 other names. The record is from RNAcentral. Lineage: Bacteria; Pseudomonadati; Pseudomonadota; Gammaproteobacteria; Enterobacterales; Erwiniaceae.
AGCGGGGUGGAGCAGUCUGGUAGCUCGUCGGGCUCAUAACCCGAAGGUCGUUGGUUCAAAUCCAGCCCCCGCAACCA